GAGGGUGAUCGGCCACACUGGAACUGAGACACGGUCCAGACUCCUACGGGAGGCAGCAGUAGGGAAUCUUCCGCAAUGGGCGAAAGCCUGACGGAGCAACGCCGCGUGAGUGAUGAAGGUCUUCGGAUCGUAAAACUCUGUUAUUAGGGAAGAACAUAUGUGUAAGUAACUGUGCACAUCUUGACGGUACCUAAUCAGAAAGCCACGGCUAACUACGUGCCAGCAGCCGCGGUAAUACGUAGGUGGCAAGCGUUAUCCGGAAUUAUUGGGCGUAAAGCGCGCGUAGGCGGUUUUUUAAGUCUGAUGUGAAAGCCCACGGCUCAACCGUGGAGGGUCAUUGGAAACUGGAAAACUUGAGUGCAGAAGAGGAAAGUGGAAUUCCAUGUGUAGCGGUGAAAUGCGCAGAGAUGUGGAGGAACACCAGUGGCGAAGGCGACUUUCUGGUCUGUAACUGACGCUGAUGUGCGAAAGCGUGGGGAUCAAACAGGAUUAGAUACCCUGGUAGUCCACGCCGUAAACGAU
Molecule: ribosomal RNA, 522 nt
Filed under: Staphylococcus aureus
Lineage: Bacteria; Bacillati; Bacillota; Bacilli; Caryophanales; Staphylococcaceae
Description: bacterial SSU rRNA
Rfam family: Bacterial small subunit ribosomal RNA
Source: RNAcentral